CUGGUAUUACCUCCGUCCCAAAUUACUUGUCUUAGAUUUGUCUAGAUACGUAUGUAUCUAACACUAAAAUGUGUCUAGAUACAUCCGUAUCUAGACAAAUCUAAGGCAAGUAAUUCGGGACGGAGGGAGUAUUCU
Non-coding RNA from Triticum urartu, 135 nucleotides. The record is from Rfam. Lineage: Eukaryota; Viridiplantae; Streptophyta; Magnoliopsida; Poales; Poaceae.